GUGGGGAAUAUUCCGCAAUGGACGAAAGUCUGACGGAGCAACGCCGCGUGAGUGAUGAAGGUUUUUGGACUGUAAAGCUCUGUUGUUUAGGACGAAAGUGCCUGUUGCGAACAGUUACAGGUAUUGACGGUACUAAACGAGGAAGCCACGGCUAACUACGUGCCAGCAGCCGCGGUAAUACGUAGGUGGCAAGCGUUGUCCGGAAUUAUUGGGCGUAAAGAGCAUGUAGGCGGAGAUUUAAGUCUGUUGUGAAAAUGCGGGGCUCAACCCCGUAUUGCGAUGGAAACUGAAUUUCUUGAGUGCAGGAGAGGAAAGGGGAAUUCCCAGUGUAGCGGUGAAAUGCGUAGAUAUUGGGAGGAACACCAGUGGCGAAGGCGCCUUUCUGGACUGUGUCUGACGCUGAGAUGCGAAAGCCAGGGUAGCGAACGGGAUUAGAAACCCGAGUAGUCC
Molecule: ribosomal RNA, 450 nt
Filed under: uncultured bacterium
Lineage: Bacteria
Description: partial 16S ribosomal RNA
Rfam family: Bacterial small subunit ribosomal RNA
Source: RNAcentral